Molecule: ribosomal RNA, 460 nt
Filed under: uncultured bacterium
Lineage: Bacteria
Description: partial 16S ribosomal RNA
Rfam family: Bacterial small subunit ribosomal RNA
Source: RNAcentral
CCUACGGGAGGCAGCAGUGAGGAAUAUUGGUCAAUGGACGAGAGUCUGAACCAGCCAAGUCGCGUGAAGGAUGACUGCCCUCUGGGUUGUAAACUUCUUUUAUAUGGGAAUAAAAUGUUCCACGUGUGGGAUUUUGUAUGUACCAUAUGAAUAAGGAUCGGCUAACUCCGUGCCAGCAGCCGCGGUAAUACGGAGGAUCCGAGCGUUAUCCGGAUUUAUUGGGUUUAAAGGGAGCGUAGGUGGAUUGUUAAGUCAGUUGUGAAAGUUUGCGGCUCAACCGGAAAAUUGCAGUUGAAACUGGCAGUCUUGAGUACAGUAGAGGUAGGCGGAAUUCGUGGUGUAGCGGUGAAAUGCUUAGAUAUCACGAAGAACUCCGAUUGCGAAGGCAGUUCACUGGACUGCAACUGACACUGAGGCUCGAAAGUGUGGGUAUCAAACAGGAUUAGAUACCCUAGUAGUC